GAUGAACGCUGGCGGCGUGCCUAACACAUGCAAGUCGAACGGAGUAUUUCGGAUGAAGUUUUCGGAUGGAUUUUGAGAUACUUAGUGGCGGACGGGUGAGUAACGCGUGGGCAACCUGCCCCAUACCGGGGGAUAACAGCCGGAAACGGCUGCUAAAACCGCAUACGAUGCAGAAGUCGCAUGACUACUGCAUGAAAUAUUCAUAGGUAUGGGAUGGGCCCGCGUCUGAUUAGCUAGUUGGUGAGGUAACGGCUCACCAAGGCGACGAUCAGUAGCCGGCUUGAGAGAGUGACCGGCCACAUUGGGACUGAGACACGGCCCAAACUCCUACGGGAGGCAGCAGUGGGGAAUAUUGCACAAUGGGGGAAACCCUGAUGCAGCGACGCCGCGUGAGUGAAGAAGUAUUUCGGUAUGUAAAGCUCUAUCAGCAGGGAAAGAAAGACGGUACCUGACUAAGAAGCCCCGGCUAACUACGUGCCAGCAGCCGAC
Molecule: ribosomal RNA, 489 nt
Filed under: uncultured bacterium
Lineage: Bacteria
Description: bacterial SSU rRNA
Rfam family: Bacterial small subunit ribosomal RNA
Source: RNAcentral